Molecule: ribosomal RNA, 985 nt
Filed under: uncultured bacterium
Lineage: Bacteria
Description: bacterial SSU rRNA
Rfam family: Bacterial small subunit ribosomal RNA
Source: RNAcentral
GAUGAACGCUAGCGGCAGGCUUAACACAUGCAAGUCGAGGGGUAGGAGAAGCUUGCUUUUCUGAGACCGGCGCACGGGUGCGUAACGCGUAUGCAAUCUACCUUUCACAGAGGGAUAGCCCAGAGAAAUUUGGAUUAAUACCUCAUAGUAUAAUUGAAUGGCAUCAUUUAAUUAUUAAAGAUUUAUCGGUGAAAGAUGAGCAUGCGUCCCAUUAGCUAGUUGGUAUGGUAACGGCAUACCAAGGCAACGAUGGGUAGGGGUCCUGAGAGGGAGAUCCCCCACACUGGUACUGAGACACGGACCAGACUCCUACGGGAGGCAGCAGUGAGGAAUAUUGGACAAUGGGCGCAAGCCUGAUCCAGCCAUGCCGCGUGCAGGAUGACGGUCCUAUGGAUUGUAAACUGCUUUUAUACAGGAAGAAACCCCUCUACGUGUAGAGACUUGACGGUACUGUAAGAAUAAGGAUCGGCUAACUCCGUGCCAGCAGCCGCGGUAAUACGGAGGAUCCAAGCGUUAUCCGGAAUCAUUGGGUUUAAAGGGUCCGUAGGCGGUCAGGUAAGUCAGUGGUGAAAGCCCAUCGCUCAACGGUGGAACGGCCAUUGAUACUGUCUGACUUGAAUUAUUAGGAAGUAACUAGAAUAUGUAGUGUAGCGGUGAAAUGCUUAGAGAUUACAUGGAAUACCAAUUGCGAAGGCAGGUUACUACUAAUUGAUUGACGCUGAUGGACGAAAGCGUGGGUAGCGAACAGGAUUAGAUACCCUGGUAGUCCACGCCGUAAACGAUGGAUACUAGCUGUUGGGAGCAAUCUCAGUGGCUAAGCGAAAGUGAUAAGUAUCCCACCUGGGGAGUACGAACGCAAGUUUGAAACUCAAAGGAAUUGACGGGGGCCCGCACAAGCGGUGGAGCAUGUGGUUUAAUUCGAUGAUACGCGAGGAACCUUACCAAGGCUUAAAUGUAGAUUGACCGUUUGGAAACAGAACUUCGC